GACGAACGCUGGCGGCGUGCUUAACACAUGCAAGUCGAACGGAAAGGCCCUGCUUUUGUGGGGUGCUCGAGUGGCGAACGGGUGAGUAACACGUGAGUAACCUGCCCUUGACUUUGGGAUAACUUCAGGAAACUGGGGCUAAUACCGGAUAGGAGCUCCUGCUGCAUGGUGGGGGUUGGAAAGUUUCGGCGGUUGGGGAUGGACUCGCGGCUUAUCAGCUUGUUGGUGGGGUAGUGGCUUACCAAGGCUUUGACGGGUAGCCGGCCUGAGAGGGUGACCGGCCACAUGGGAGCAGGGGUGCGGCCAAGACUGCUACGGGGGGCAGGGGGGGAGAAUUUGCGACAAGGGGGGGGGGGGUGGAGGAGGCACGCCGCGGGGGGAAAGACGGUGUUUGGGUAGUAACCCGUUUGCGCGUGAGAGGGAGCGGCGGGAAGGGAAAUGGGUAAAAAGGCACGGGUAAACAAGGG
Molecule: ribosomal RNA, 467 nt
Filed under: uncultured bacterium
Lineage: Bacteria
Description: partial 16S ribosomal RNA
Rfam family: Bacterial small subunit ribosomal RNA (bases 20-329)
Source: RNAcentral